AUGGUAGUGGUCCAAUGGUUAAGAUACCAGCCUGUGGAGCCGGUGACGCGGGUCCGAUUCCCGCCUACCAUC
This 72-nucleotide transfer RNA is filed under the name archaeon. RNAcentral describes it as "tRNA-His". It matches the Rfam family "tRNA". Rfam says of the family: Transfer RNA (tRNA) molecules are approximately 80 nucleotides in length. Their secondary structure includes four short double-helical elements and three loops (D, anti-codon, and T loops). The record is from RNAcentral.